AAGAAAUGAUUCUGUGGUCAUGUAGAUUUGAAUGAAUGUUUUUGAUUAAAAUGUAUUCAAUAUAAUUGUGUUUUUGAUUUUGAGGCAAAUAUUUAAUUAAAUUUCAAAUAAAAAUGGUUGGAAUAAAAUCUACCCAUUGUAGUUAAAUAAAAUUUAAGCAUUAUAUUUAUCUAAUCCCAAAUGGAGAGAAUAUUGAGUUAAUUCAAAUUAAUGUAAUCGGGCUAAUUUUAAUUGAAAAGCACUUCCUGUCGAAGUGAGCCUUUUUAUUUAAAAAAUGCAGCAGGCCUACAAGGCAUUUGAAGAGAGUAGGCUACAGACAGUGAAUGUUCGUUUUCUUCCACAUUGCUCAUCUUGCAAAAUUUGACUGGUUGACUUAGGUAAGAAAACUUAUUUUGUUAUCACUGGGCUACUAAGAAAAACGCAUGUAGUAGUAUAUUACAAUAUAAAAUGAGUUAUCACAGAAAAAGAGACUCAGCAGCAACACAAAGUUGGCUUCUGUUGGAAGGCUAUGUGAUGUUGUUGCGCUAUAAUAUUGACACAGCAUCAUACAUUUUGGAAGAAUUCUUAUGUAUCGAAGUCAAACGUUUAUUUUGAAGGAUGUGGGUUACCUUUUUCUCUAUCAUGGUUCCUAGGUCUUUUGUGUGUUAAUAUCAUAUCCUAAGUAUGUUUUGUAUGAAAUUGCGUAAAUAAGUACAUCGCGUUUAAUUUUAAGGUUCCAUAAAGCGCAAUAUUUGGGGUUUUCGCUGGAUGAAGAUCUUAUAUUUCAGACGGCACUUGACGCAGUUCCGUUGGCUUUACUUCUCGUGUGUGGAGCUCGUCUUCCAGAGGCAGAUCAAUGCAGAAUUUCAAAGAACAACUACUGUACUUCUGGUACCGAAAUUUAUGUCUGUGUUUGACUGUCACACUCCCAAGCUACUGACGCCAUUUUGUGCCAAAGAUGGAGCACUUGGAAGAAAAUUGGAGAUCAUAAUGGAAAUGCUGCAGUGAUUGACUUCCUCCCCAGCACUCUUUGAUUGAGAGGACCAGAGAGAUUGUUCCUCGGUAUCUUACAAAAAAUACCUUGGAGAACAAGGGGGACAUCUUAUCAAAGAAUUCAACGACACUGAGAACUUGGAGGAACUUGAACAGCUCAUAAUGGCCAUUAAUGUGACCCCAAAGCGUGGAGCUUCUACAAGCAACUGCCCAAAGAACAUUGGGAUCCUCAUUAAGGGCGUGGAAGUCAUCACAGGACUUGGAGAUAUUGCAAGGGCUUGCAUUGUCCUCUUUGGCUUGACCUACGCGCUGAAUCUUGAUUAUCCCAGACUACUGAAGUACACCUUUGAGGUGUUCCAAUUUUUUUUCUUGGAACUGGAUGAUUCAAAGCUUUCUAACAAAGUCCAGUCCCUCAAGAACAAACUUCAGGCUUGAAAUGGGACUGUAUUGCAGUGCAGACUUUUGUGCUACACAAUGUUCAUCUUCUACAGAGCUUGGGAAUUGCACAUUUGAAAGUGCUAUGUUUGUAAGUUGGCACUGUUUUGUCCAAAAAAUGUCGUACAUUUCAAUUGUUGUAAAUUCAAAGUACAAAUGUAUUUUACUCAGUACAAUUUGCACUUUUAUUAUUUAUGUUUUGGCACAUGCCAUUAUGGAGUAUUUUUCUUUAAGAUCUUUACUGCUCCUUUUUUUUUUAAGUUGAAGUCAGCAUUUUGUCCUUUUCAAAGUUCUGAAAAAGUUUGAAAUGCUUGAGCAAACUUCUGGCUUGAAAAAAGAGACAGUAGUAGUUGCAGUGUACAUGAUUUGCUACACAAUGUUUAGCUUCUACAGAGCUUGGGAAUUACACAUCUGAAAGUGUUAUGUUUGUAAGUUAGCACUGAUUUGGACUCUUAUCCCACGAAUGUCAGUGAUAUUUCUAGUUCAAAGUACGAAAUGUUUAUUACUCUGUACAAAUUACACUUUUCUGCUUUUUUUUGGUACAUGCACCUCUGGAGGAUUUUCCUUUAAGAUCAUUAUUGACCCAAUUUAGUGUGAUGUGAGAUGAGAAAGCAUGGAAACAGGUUUAUAGACACAUCACCAUUCUGUAUGUAAUUUAUUUUUGUUUUUACAAAAUAGUUUAAAGUCAGCAUUCUGUCCUUUUCAAACUUCUGGCUUGAAAUGAGACUGUGGUUGCAGUGUACAAUGAUUUGCUACAAUGUGUCUAAAGCACAAAAGUGAAUUGUUAAUAAAAUUCUUAUUUGAGUA
This is a long non-coding RNA of Carassius gibelio (silver crucian carp), 2214 nucleotides long. RefSeq lists it as uncharacterized. NCBI's taxonomy places the organism in Eukaryota, Metazoa, Chordata, Actinopteri, Cypriniformes, Cyprinidae. The transcript is spliced from 4 exons. The record is from RefSeq and is a predicted model, not a curated record.